AGUGCGCCCUGAACCUUCUCAGGUUCUCAGGUUGGGAGUGAAGGAUUAGUGGAGAUUGGUGGUUGGUGCUUACUGUUGGGUUUUGAGCAUUCUAACACUCCUAAGUGUACAUGCAACCCUAAAUACCUUGGAUCUAUGUUUUCUCUAUUAUACAUGCAAAUAAGAACUUCCAAGGUAUUAUCCUAAUCUAGCAUACAAAACAAUAACUAUAGCAAGAUAGAAUACAUACCUCUUUGGUGUAGAAAGUCUUCAUGAAGCUUGAGUGCCAAGUGCCCCAAGUGUGACACCUCAAAUGGUUCACACAACACCAAAUACACAUGGAUUAACUUGAGAGAAUUCUACACUUCAUGAAAAUCGGCUAGCCCUUUCUCACUCUCUCUAGUGGCCGAUUUUUCCUAAGAAUGUGAUCUUUAUAUAGUGUUACAAUUAGGGUAAACUCUUAAUUGUCAUGGCUUUCCAUUUCCUUGGAUCCAUGGGUUCAAAUACACCAUGGAGCAUCCAUGAACCAUCUUAUGGGUUUUAGCCCAACUUGAUUAUCCAUGGAGCAUAAGCCCACUAUACAAGUAUGGAUGAUUUACACAAUCAACCCAUAUAUUUAAUUAGUCUUCUUUUGAUCACUUAAUUAAUCCUAGAUUAAUUCUUGAUCAAUACUAAUUAAAUAAUCUCAUUAUUCUUAUUAUUAAUAUACUAGAACUUAUAAUAUAUUAAUAACCAUAAGUGUCUUAUUUCUCUCAUUUAGUCUAUCCAAGUGCAUGAUGCCAUGCAACCCAAAUGGACCAUGCCGGGUCGGGUCAAGUCUUACCAAUUAUAGUUAUGGACUUAGACAUUAAUCCAACAGUCUCCCACUUGGAUAAGUCUAAAACUAUUAUUGCGUAUGACUUCAGGAACCAACUGGCAAUCGUAGCUCUCAAAAGCUUCUGUCGAACUCUGACCUUGUAGAUGAACUCUGACCUUUGUCAAUGACUUGUCCAUUAGAUAAGGGAUCAUAUAUUCCUCCAUUCUAGAUAUCAUAUGGACUGAGACAUGGAUUAUAAUCAUUCUCUCUGUCCAUUUGUUGUUUCCCGAUUUCCGAUUUAUGACGACUGACUAAUUGAACAAAUCAAAUCAGUCCUGGCCCGGCCGAGCACUUCCAUUUGUCAUCAUCAAAUCAUCGAGGGGCCCACAGAUAUCGCUUUUAUCCCGAAGGUAAAAGGAAUGGAUAAACUUCGACUCAUAUGGCUUGUUCUACUACUUGUUGAAUCAUACACAAAGGCACGUUUUAUAGCACCGAGUUACCAAAUGCGUUUUCGUGCAAUCAAUGUACUAUCAACUCAUAGUAACAACUCAUAUCUCUAGGUUUGAAGAAUAUAAGAUAUUAUCGUCUCAUGAUCACUCGUGAUAAAAUCCAUGAAGUGAUUCCAAUGAGCGCGGGUUGAAUCCAAUACUCAGAACUUAUGAGCACUCAUGAGUGUUGUAGCCCUUUGUCCAACACCUUAGACCUCUACAAGCCAACCCAUGACAGUCUUAAUUCAUAUCUACUUCCAACAUAUGACCGACUGUGGAUGGUUUGAAUAACUUAGUCAUUCCGGAAGAAUAACCCAGUUUAUUCGGGAAGUCAAAACAUGCAAAAUGAAACACAAUAAUAAUUGAAUCCAAUAUGGUAUCAACCCUUUGAACAUAAAUAAAACACCUUUUAUUUAUCACCAUAUGAUUACACAUUAUUCAUUGUAUACUGUUUCAGCUAUCAACUUUAUUCUUGAAUUUAAAACAAUAGUUGUCCCAUGCUCCAAGCAUGUACACUAUGUUUUCUUAAACACUAGUCAUGCCACACACCAAGUAUGCAUACUAUGUUUGUCUAUGAUCUUUACUUUGUGAACUAGAUCAAUUGAACAUAACUUCAAUGAUUCUCUUUUCACACUCCCAAAUCCUUACUGCAAAUGCAAGAAUUCCAAAUUCAUGCCAUUUACUGAAAUCUGUUAGAUUCUAAACUUAUAUGCAUUGAUCCUCUUGUAAUGAUUAUGCACAAAGUCACAAAGACUUGGCAACAAUCAUUACAGAGUAUUCCAAAGGAGAUCAACUCCUUGGAAAUAUCCUUCUUGCAUUAAGUUUCCUUAAUCUUACACAGAUUGAAAAUUCUAACUUUGAAACAUUUCCAGAUUCCAUUUUGACUAUCACUUCUGAACAAGAGUUGCCUCCUUACAGAUUAUGUCAAUAUGGUCCUUCCAGAAUUAUCACUAUACUUCCAAUUGUCCUUGAGUAACCAAUCUUUGGUAAACCUUAGAUUGUCCUCGACAAUUGUUUAAUCCUUUUAGUCAUAUCCAGUUCUAAACCUUUUCCCUUCUUAAUGCCCCAGGCAUUUGGAAAAUUUUAGAACGGAUGAAUAUAGCACAUGUAAUCGAUCCUAUAUCCGAAGCAUAUGGGACACGAUUCAUGAUGUCUUACAUAAAGACUAAACCAGUCUUUUGCUAUAAUAUUUCCAUUUCAAUUUGCCAAGUUCUCAUAAUUCAGAUUAUGAAAAGGGAUGCCGUAAUCAUAAUCGAAUUUUAGAACGCAAAUAAUGGACCCAUAUACAGAAUUUCCUUAUGUUGAGCCAUUCCAACAUGAAAUUCAUAUAUAUCCUUGACUAAAUGAUUAAAACCUCACGAUCUAAGCUUAUAGAUUUGAGAUGAAGCAUAAUUUCCUCUCCCUUAAUUAUAGCAAAACAACUUUUUCCCAAUUGAAACUUUUGUUUUCUAUAAUUAACAUUGCUAACUUGCAAUACUUAUCAUAAUUAUCAUGCUCCCACUAACAUGAUGAUUAUUAGCAUAACACUUAUGCUCCCACUAGCUUUGACAUGUACUCAGAAAUCAGCUGGACAGUCUGAAAUUUAGAUUCAUACACCCUUUCCGUAGAUAGCUCACCUGUGUGUCUAAGCAAUUUCAAGAACCAUGAAAAGGGAUACCGUAAUCAUGGUCUCAAUUGCUUAGGCAUUUGCCAUUUCUCACAAGUCCAUGUUAGUGUGCCGGUUAACCACACGCGCUCCACUAACGACUUUUGAAAAUGCAAAUAACACAAUUGAUAUCUUCGUAAAAUCUACUUAGUGAAAGCGUUUCCUCACCAUCAUUUUCAUGAAUCGGAGAGAAACCUUAUGACACUUAGAUUUAUAUGGUGUAUGAGUUCCUACCCAUAUGAAUUUGUCAAACCAUAAUCACAAGACAAAGAUAAUGACAAAUCCAAAACCAUAUGGAUUGAACUCAAUCUUAACUUCUUGCCACCUGGCAGCUCAAGGGCCUGCCAUUGCUUCCAAGUUGUUAUGCAACAAACUGAGAACUCUAAGAACUCAUAUGCAAAGCCAACUUUAACUGGAAUGGGCACAGAUAUGUCAACACGAUAGGUUAUAAACCUCAAGUCGUGUGCUAGUGAAGAACUUUAGGUUUUAUUCUUGAUUAUUUCUUGAGACUUUCAAGACCUUUAAGACUCCCACUGUCCUCUUGACAUAUAAGACUCCCUUGUCAAACAUCCAAGAGAUAGUGCGGAUUCUAAUCAAGAAAAACACUUUACCCAAUUGGCCUAAGUUGGUCUUUGUUUUAUCCAAAACAUCACAACUUACCAAUUUCAAAUGUACAAGAGUAGAAAACUUUUACUCUUACAUUUGACAAGUGUUUUAAACCUUCUUUAAGACAUGUCACUCAAAUGACAAUCUUGGAGUAUGACUCUAAGACUUGUAUUGGAACGAAGUAUGACUCAUCUUCUUGAUUUAACCAUUUCAACAAUUCAAGUUCCUCUUCUUAGUCAUAAGAAUGCACUAAGAUUUCCUUAGAGAACUAAUUUUGAUAUGGUUUCUUAAUCAUUAAGAUGAUCACAAAACUGAUACUAAAGUACUCUCCCAUCUUUUCAGAUUUGAGAAACUUUUAUCCUUCUGCCUUAUUUGAUUCUUCUUAUCGAUCUUUAGUGGUGGACUUAAUCAGUGCACAAGAAUGUGUACUCGAUCCCUAAGUCCUUUACUUGACUCACACAUCCAUGUGAACAAGUAAUUAGUCUUAAUUUUCCAAAACUUGAAAGUUCUCAUUCAUCAUGCUAUACAACUUGCAUGAUUCCAAGUUCCGGUCCAAUUGAAACUUGGGUGAUGAGAAUCUUUCCUUAUUUGGUAAAUUUAGACAUUACCACAAAUGAAAGAAUCAAUUUCAUAUUUCCACUCUUGCUCUUAAUGGAAUCAUAUAAGCAACAAUUUUUCCUCAAAUGCCAUUGUAAGGAUAUUUUAAAAUAAAUAAAAAAAAAAAUUUUCUUUUAUUUUAAAACUUUGCGGAAAAACUUAUCCUUACAAUCCAUAUGAAAACUUGUUGUUAUCUAUUCCUAAGCAAUAUCUCAUAACUCCUAAGAAGUAGCUCAAGAAUCCGAUCUUCAAACUAUGCGAUAGAAAUCCAUCUACGCCAUCAGAUUCAGCAUAUUCUUUCUUUAAGUUUCUUCACUUUUCUUUGAUUCUUAAAACAUCACCAUGUGACCCAGUCACAUCAUGUAUCAAGAAUCUCAGAAUAGAAACUUAACAGAGUUAGAUAGUGGACUUUACCUGAAGUAGAGUCAAACUUAUUGACUUUAACAUCCUUAGGUAAAUUUGGCAGCUUCGCAACCAAUGCCCCUUCCUUUGGCAAUAUAAACAUAUGGACCCUUUGAUAAUGGUACACGAGACUAUCACAGACUUAGCUUUUCUCUUUACCAUUUGGUCAACCGAGUUGACUAUGGCCGAUCCCUUUCCAUUGGGAAGAGAAUGCUUUACUGGAUAUCCAAUGUCAUCAUUGUCAAUGUCCAUAAAGUUUUAGGAAGUUGAUCUUAGCAAAUAGAUAAGAUCAUUAAGGGUCUUGUCAUAGUCUGUUUCAUAGGUGUCCCAAAGGAACUCACUAUGUGACUUAGAAAGUGGUUGAACCACCAACUUUCUCAAGACUUUGACACCCAACUCUCCCGGCUUGUCAAUAUGUGACUACAUCUCCAAGAUGUGACCACACCUAGACCUUGCCUUGCCAAUAGGGCCUGAGUGACCUUAAACUUUUCAAGAACUUGUGGGUUAGGGAGAAUAAUUUGAAGAGGUGAAGAAGUAUGAUAUCCAUGGGACAUCAUCUUCAUUAGGAAACCUUGUUUCAAGAGAUUUGGGAAGAUCAUAGGUGUCUAAACCAGACAUCUUUUGGGAGAUAUUCAAGAUAGUUGAUUUAAAGUCCUUAAUAUGACACCCAAUAUGAAAUAUUAAGGCUAGGACCCAACAAACUAUUUUAUAACUUAGAAGAGGUAUGCCGUAAUCCAAGCUAUAAAAUAUUUGAAGGUAGGUGAAUGACGAUUCACCAAUUUCCACCAAGAUAAACGAAAUGUAUUAUUAGGUUUUAAUUGGUUUUGAAACUCCUAGAUCUUUGAGAUUCAUUGAACUUUUCAAAGGCAUGUUUCAAUCUCGAGUGUGCCCUUCAGGUUUUGUGACUGGGAUGCCGAGGAUCACAAAACAAGGUGUGAAGUAACCAUGCAAAUCACUUGGUACCCUUAAUAAAUUACCCCUCAAUCGAUGUGCCGGUUAACCACACACGCUCCAUCGAUACUAUGAUAAAUAUUAAGUCACCCUUUACCUACCUUGUUAAGUCCAAGUUAGUGUGCCGGUUAACCACACACGCUCCACUAACGACUUAGACAAAGUGUAAAGUGUAAUUUCAUGGAUUAGCACCUUAUUCACAUUUUUCCUAAGUAACUAAGAUUGGGUAUUAUUAAGAGUUUAGUUACUUAGUAUUAUCAUUAAUACUUUUAAUGAAGGGAGAAUUCUAGUCCUGUCAAACCCGUUCGGCUAACGACCCUCCACCAGUCAAGCAAGCGGUGGGUGAGAGUGGACACCCAUUAAGUUGCCAUUUUAUAGGCAACAACCUUAUACCCACCUUAUAGACCGGCUUCGUGAAUGAGGCGUACUAGCGGUAAGACUGACUUUACUCUUAUACAUAUAUAUAUUAUUAACUUAUAAUAUUAUAAAGUAUAAGGGUUGAAUUUUAACUUUUAAAAUUCUAAGGGCUAACUUGGAAUUAAAGUAUUCAUAAGUGAAAACUUUUCAAAUUCCAAAACUUGAGGGCAAGUUUUGAAACUAUUCAAAACUAAUUAAUUCCAUAACUUAUGUGUUUAAAGUAGUUUUAAUCCAAAAACUCUUCAAGUUCCAUAACUUGAGGACAAGUUAUGGAAGACUUUAAACUAAUAAAAGAACUAACUUUUUCUUUAUUUUAUAACUUAUGGAUUUAAUUAUGGUUACAUAUUUUUCUUUAAUGAAGUGACUCUUGAACUUCCAUAACUUGAGGACAAGUUAUGGAGUCAAAAAAAAUUAUUCAAUGACACAAGACUCUUCAUUUUGUAACCAUUGCCAACUUUUAUGAGUUUUAUGAGUCUUUAAUGUGACUCUUCAUGUAACUUGAGGACAAGUUACACAAACACAUUUUAUACUCAACUCUUAGAUUAAAAUGGAUUGAAAACAACUAUUUCAAUUAACAUUUCUAUUAAUCUAAGCAACUCAUAAGAACAAGAUAAUUCAAAUCAAACUUUUUCAUGUAAUUAGUCUAAACCUUAAACUAAUACAAAACAUGAAUCUAUUGACAAUUAUCUUUGAAAAUGGAUUAGCAUGAACAUUACCACAUCAAAAACAAGUUUAUAAGUUCAAAAACAACUUAGGGUAAUGUUCCUAGUCCAUUUCUAGCCAAAAAACUCGAAAAUAUGCUGUCUGGGGGUCCAACUCGUCGAGUGCAUGAACCAACUCGGCGAGUUGGAUCGAAUUCAUCACUUUUUAGGCAUGGACUCGUCGAGUCUCCUGAUGGACUCGCCGAGUCUGAUGGCCAGACAGCACCAAAUUCGUUUUUUCAGCUUCUAUUGCAGGUAUAACAAGAAAACAAGCCUAGGCUCUGAUACCACUGUUGGGUUUUGAGCAUUCUAACACUCCUAAGUGUACAUGCAACCCUAAAUACCUUGGAUCUAUGUUUUCUCUAUUAUACAUGCAAAUAAGAACUUCCAAGGUAUUAUCCUAAUCUAGCAUACAAAACAAUAACUAUAGCAAGAUAGAAUACAUACCUCUUUGGUGUAGAAAGUCUUCAUGAAGCUUGAGUGCCAAGUGCCCCAAGUGUGACACCUCAAAUGGUUCACACAACACCAAAUACACAUGGAUUAACUUGAGAGAAUUCUACACUUCAUGAAAAUCGGCUAGCCCUUUCUCACUCUCUCUAGUGGCCGAUUUUUCCCAAGAAUGUGAUCUUUAUAUAGUGUUACAAUUAGGGUAAACUCUUAAUUGUCAUGGCUUUCCAUUUCCUUGGAUCCAUGGGUUCAAAUACACCAUGGAGCAUCCAUGAACCAUCUUAUGGGUUUUAGCCCAACUUGAUUAUCCAUGGAGCAUAAGCCCACUAUACAAGUAUGGAUGAUUUACACAAUCAACCCAUAUAUUUAAUUAGUCUUCUUUUGAUCACUUAAUUAAUCCUAGAUUAAUUCUUGAUCAAUACUAAUUAAAUAAUCUCAUUAUUCUUAUUAUUAAUAUACUAGAACUUAUAAUAUAUUAAUAACCAUAAGUGUCUUAUUUCUCUCAUUUAGUCUAUCCAAGUGCAUGAUGCCAUGCAACCCAAAUGGACCAUGCCGGGUCGGGUCAAGUCUUACCAAUUAUAGUUAUGGACUUAGACAUUAAUCCAAC
Molecule: long non-coding RNA, 7636 nt
Filed under: Lactuca sativa (garden lettuce)
Lineage: Eukaryota; Viridiplantae; Streptophyta; Magnoliopsida; Asterales; Asteraceae
Description: long non-coding RNA (LSAT_LNC002365)
Source: RNAcentral